Long non-coding RNA from Arabidopsis lyrata subsp. lyrata, 930 nucleotides. RefSeq lists it as uncharacterized. The transcript has 5 exons. NCBI's taxonomy places the organism in Eukaryota, Viridiplantae, Streptophyta, Magnoliopsida, Brassicales, Brassicaceae. The record is from RefSeq and is a predicted model, not a curated record.
ACUUUGGCCAUCUCUUCUCUCUUCUUUCUUCUUUCUUCUUUCUUCUUCUUCUCCGACUUGAGUUUUCGGCGAUGGGAGACGAGAAGCCGGCGAUUGUGAUGGCUAAUCGUGAAAGAGAUUGAGAGCUUUUGAUUCCCGUAGCUGAUUCCGGCCAUCUUCUUCUUCCUCUUCUUCUUCGCAUCAAUCCAGCCACGAGGUCUAGUUUUCUUUUCACCUGAUCUAGAAUCUUGUUAUUCGUUUUCUCAUUUCAAGAUUCAUGUGAAAUUAACAGUAGAAUUGGAUUGACUUGAAUUGAAUUGUGGUCUGAUGCUUUAGCUAUUUUCUGCAAACUUUUUCAUGGCGUCGAAGAAGUUCAUGACAGGCUGAUCAUUGGCAGCUCCAACUCGAUUUAUAAAUCAUCUGCCAUGACCUCACAAGCUUGUCUUCUUCUUCAGAAACUGCCCAAAGAUAUUUGUAAGCAUCUUGUUGAUGGAUACUCGCUGUUCUACUUGAUGAGAAGAAUAUAUUCAAAUGGAGUGUAACUAUUAUCGGACCUCCUGAUGAUACUCUCUGGAAUCAACCAAACACUAGAUGACAUAAUAUAAGCUUCAUCUCCAAGGAUAAUGGUAAAGCCCUUAAGUAAUCACAUCACUAAAGCUUUAAUUUGAGAGUACAUCACAUCACUGACCACACACACACACGUCCCUGUAUAUGAACAAAAGCAGCUUCAAGCAAGAUGUGCUCGUAUUAAGGCAAUGCCAAGAUGGUUGUUGUAUCAAGAAGAUAAUGUUGUCCAAGAACAGCAAAAACCGCAAGCCACCAAAGGAUGAAAAGAAGUUUGAAAUUGGAUUGAUGUUUUUUUUUCUCUUUCUAAAUUUUGAUUAUUUACAUUUGAAAUCGAAAAUAGUCAACUUUUGAUAUGUGCCAAUGAAGAAAAAAAAAUACAACAAA